GCUAGGCAGGAUUUUCAGGGCAGAAAGAAUGCUGGGAAGAAGAAGGGUGGAGUCAAAGGAUCUCGAGGAGAAGUGGAAAGAAGGAGAUGAAUUUGCUGUACUGAGAAAAGUGGUCUUGGAGUCAAUACGUUGAAAUGAGAAGAGAUUUCACCCAGAGAGGCUGGCCAAAAAUGGGAAUGUCAAGUGCCAGGAAGGGGGACCAAGUCUGACGUGGGCCCAAGAGAAAAGCAGUAUCUUGAGAUGGAGGUGUUGAGACCCAGGAAGAGAGACUCCUAUCCACAAGGUUGGCAGCAGGUCGGGCAAGCCCAGGACCUAGGGAUUCCACACCUCUACUCAACAAGCUCUGUGUGUCCUCACGGGCCCCGUGGCAGCAAUCACGUAUGUCGUCAUUGUGUGUGGCUACUGGCCUGUUUUUCCAUUACACUAUGCACCAGGUAGCUAUUUUCCUAGGAUGGCUGUAGUUCCCAGCCCCAUGGAACAGGCAAAAAUGUAAAAUAUGCUUAAUAAUAACAUUGAGAGCAAGCCAGGCAUCCAUCAAUAGCUGCUGGCAAAGGCAAAAUGCGGUAUGCUUAGGCAAUGGAAUAUUAUUCAGCCAUCAAAAGGAAUGAAGCCUGGGCUAGAAAGAAAGCACAGCUGGUGAAGCACUUGCCUUGCAAACCCGAGUGUUAGUUUCUGCGGCCACCGCCGCCGCAGCAGCAGCCUGCCUCUGCCGCCAAAGCAGUUCCCUCACCGCCUGUCGCCAGGUGCCUUUCCACCGUGAGCUAGGGGACAUGCGCACCCUUUAAAAGUGCCCGCCAGGCACGGCUCGCCCUCUUUGCCUCUCUUGCCUCUUACCCCUCCUUGUCUCUUCUCUUCUCUCCUGCUUCUCUUCUUCCUCUUGUCUGUCUGCCUUUCUCAAGUCCCCAUCCUGACACGGCCUCUCUCUGCCCCCUCUCCCAGGCCUCCCCCCUCCCCCAGGAAACCUCUUGCACUAACUCUGUUGCAUGUGGUGUGUUUGCUUAGUUCCUUGGCAGGGCCUGCCAAAAGGUACCCACUAUCGCCUUUCUUUUCAUUUAUCCUUUCAAUGAGGACCUGAGCUCAGCAUCCCAGAACCCACAUUUAAAAAGCCAGAGGGCCAAAGAAAUAACUCAGAGGUCAGGAAAACUUGCCCCACGGUCACGAGGACAGGGAUUUGGAUCCCAGCAUCCACAUAACAAGUUGGGUACCCUUCUGAUGCCUACAGCCUAGCUGAGAGAAGAGAAGUUGCAGGUUUAGGGAGAGACUCUGACUCAAAGGAAAAGACAGAGCGUGAGAGGAGAGGACACUUGAUGUCCGCUUCAAGCCUCUGCACAUGCUACACAUGUGAGCACACACAUUAACUAAUUAGUUAAUUAAGCAAAUGUUUUAUUGUCUGUGUAUGGCCUGCCUAUAUGUCUGUGCACCGUGUGUGUGUGUGUGUGUGUGUGCCUGGUGCCAGCAGAGGCCGGAAGAGGGCAU
Molecule: long non-coding RNA, 1476 nt
Organism: Peromyscus maniculatus bairdii (prairie deer mouse)
Lineage: Eukaryota; Metazoa; Chordata; Mammalia; Rodentia; Cricetidae
Source: RefSeq, a predicted model, not a curated record